This 3047-nucleotide long non-coding RNA is filed under the name Solanum tuberosum (potato). RNAcentral describes it as "long non-coding RNA (STUB_LNC011422)". The record is from RNAcentral. Lineage: Eukaryota; Viridiplantae; Streptophyta; Magnoliopsida; Solanales; Solanaceae.
GGUACAGUUUGAGGUGGCGGAUCAGUGUCGGAAUAGGAUAAAGUUGGUUGAUGUCGUUCAUACACAAAUCCAGGUUUGAACCUCUUAAAAGAAGAUGAUAAAUCCUCAAGAGUAGGAAGAAGAGGAGAAGCAGAAGAUGAAUCUACAAUCGUAGGAAAGAAAUACUGAUUCUCAAAGAAAAUAACAUUUCUAGAAAUACGAAAUUUGUGAGAACAUGGAUCAUAGCAAAUAAAACCUUUUUGUGAAGUACUAUAACCCUUAAAAGCACAUUUAGUAGACUUUACAAAAAGUUUAUUGCGCUGCGAAGGAGCCAAAUGCACAAAACAAACACAACCAAAUGUAUGAAAAUCACUAUAGUUAGGAUUUUGGUGAUAAAGACGAAAAUAUGGAGACUCGAGAUUUAGCAUUUUAGAUGGCAAUCUAUUAAUUAAAUAGACAGUAGAAGACAAAGCUUCCACCCAAUAUUUAGAUGGUACAGAGGACUAAAUCAAUAAAGUACGAGUGACAUCUAAAAGAUGGUGAUUUUUUCGUUCAGCAACUCCAUUUUGUUGUGGUGUAUAUGGGCAAGAGUGUUGUGAGACAAUUCCUUUGUCAAGCAAGAAUUUUUUGAAUUCAUAAGACAUAUAUUCUCCACCAGAAUCAGAUCUUAAUAAUUUGAUGCAUGUAGAAAAUUAAGUCUCAAUGUAAGCCAAAAAUGUCUUGAACAUGGAAAAUACCUCAGAUUUGGAUCGAAGAAAAUACACCCAUGUAAACCGACUAUAAUCAUCUAUGAAUGUCACAAAGUAUUUGAAAUGAGCAUGAGAAAUAAUUGGUGAAAUGCCCCAAACAUCACUAUGAAUGACUGUUUACAUCCCUACUCUAUUCAAAUAGGGAGAAACGUCGCGGUGACUCAAAAAAUAAUCAGUUGAUUAAAUUUUAAAAUAAUUUAAAGAAUAAACGAAUUCUAAAGGAGUCGCCACCUAAUUUUAGGAAAAAACUAGGAAACCAUUAAGUGAUCUACGAAAUUAAGAGAUUCUAGGUAAGGGGUUCAAGAGAUUUCGAAGGAAAGGUAUUAAGCAUCCUUCGAAAUCCACAAAUGUGAUUCCCGAUUGAAUUCACUUUUUCAAAUUUUUAAGAGGAAAUAAAAACAAAUAUAAAAAUAUAAUAAACAAAUAAAAUAAUAAAAAAGAAGAAGCUAGAUUUGCUUAACGUCAAUAAUAUGCACAAUAAUAAAUCAAAAAUAUUGUUCAAACUUUGUUCUAAUAGUUUCAAUGGGAAGCAACUCCGAGUACCUGUAAAGACACUUAGUAAAAGUGUUAGUGGUAGAUAAAUACUUAUAAAAAUAAAUGAAUUAAAUAAUAAAUUCAAAAUAAAAAAUCCGUCUUAUUGAAAUGGAAGGCCUUGGAAAUCGACGGUAAUUUCUUCAUUGGCCAUUUUAACAUACAAAAUAUAUAAACUUAAACUAAAUUUCCGUCUUUUAAAAUGUGGAGGCCUCCAAAAUCGACGGAGAGAUUUUUUCAUUGGCCAUUAACUUGUUUCUAAACACAAUUAUAUGAACUUAACAAUAAUAAGAUAAAAUAAUAGGUAAAUAAUAAAAUGGCAACAAACAGUAAAACAAUAAUAAUAACUAAAUAUAACAACAUAAAUGACUUAAAUAACAAAAAUGGAACGAAAGCAGACAAAAUAAAUAAUAAUUAAAAAAAUCAACAGCAACUCAAAAAGCUAACAAUAACAAUAUGACAAGAUUGAUGAAAUAAUAACCAAAACAGUAACACGAUUUAAUAGAAAUUCUUAGAAAUGCAUAGAAUCAAUUUUAAUAAACUAUAAGCAGCCAAAUAUGAACAAUAUAAAGCAACAAUAAAUAAGGGAGUAAAAUAUAUAAUAAAAUAGAAUUAAUAAAUGGAUCUCAACUAAAAAUAAAAUAAAAUACCAACAAUAUUAAAUGAACUUCAAUCCAGAAAGCUUUCAGAAAACAUCAACAAGACAAAAAAAAAAUGAUAAAAAAAAAUGAACAGUAUGAGACAAUGACAAUAAAAAUUAAUAACUACUACUCCAAUCAACAAAUGAACCAAACAAAAUGAAAUAUUAACAAUUAAAGUUAUAAUCUUAAACAAAACAAAAAUAACGAAUAAAAUAGUAAAAUAAACAACCCACUCAAUAUUGAAUUUAUAACAAAGCUAACAAAAACAAAAAAAAUCCACGAAACACAUAACAUUUUAUACCUAUUUUAUAAUAAAUAACAGUAAAAUAGUAACAUUAAAAAACAACAUUAGUAAAUGACAAUAUCAGUAAACAAAGCAAAAGGUAAAAAGAACAGAAGUCAAACCUUGAUAUUUCAACGAAGAGAAAGGAACGGAGGACCAGUUUCGGAGUUUUGAUUUCGCCCGGUUGUUGUCCGGCAGUGUUGGCAUUGUUAUUGUUGAGUGUUCGCUGGAAAUGGGUUUGAAGUUGAGGGUCUGAUUCGUGGAGAUUUGGUGGUUGUUUUGAGCUAAUUUCAAGCGAGGUUCUGAGCCGAUUUCGCAGAGGAAAAGGGUGGUUUUAAGGUUUGUUGCAGGUGGUCGGAGAAUAGGGAAAUGGGAGGUUUUCCGGCUAGAGAAGAGAUAAUAGGGGACUGGUAAGGUUGAGCUCACCAGAAAAUGAGAAUAAACGAAAAGAGGUUUUGGUCUUGUGACUCCAGUGGCCGCUGCGAAGGGAGAAAGGUGAGGUUUAGGUUGCUUUGGGCUAAGCACUGGUGGUGUGAGUGGUGGUUUUGCAGCGUGAGCUGCUGGUCGGAAACGGAAAAGCAGGAAAUGGGGUAGGCGUUGAGCUGAUGUGUUUGUUUCUGGUGUUUUCUGGUUGUGUUGGCGCGGUGGAGUUCGCCGGAAAAAGGAGAAAUGAACGGGGUUUUGGGUUGGUUGCUCGAUGCGGAGCUGCUAGCAGGUUGGAUGGUUGUUUCGGAGGAAGGAGAUUGAGGGAAUGGGGGUUGAGUUGUGUGGAGAUCUGGUGGCUGCUAUGGUGUUUUCCGGUGGUGGGUGGCGGCGGCCGAAAUAUUAAUGACUAGUGAACCCUUUUGUGGAUAAAAAUUUGAA